This is a long non-coding RNA of Drosophila simulans, 725 nucleotides long. RefSeq lists it as uncharacterized. The transcript is spliced from 2 exons. Lineage: Eukaryota; Metazoa; Arthropoda; Insecta; Diptera; Drosophilidae. The record is from RefSeq and is a predicted model, not a curated record.
UAUGACGAUUAAAACCCUCAUAUGUCAACUCGGCCCAUUCAUCAUCAUCUGCCAGCCGGGUACGCAGACAGAGGUAGCAAACAGUCGCCAGACACUUGGCUGAUGAGCUCAAAUCUCAUCAAGAAGUGUCUGGCUGGCGGUUCGCAAGCAUAUAUCUCUGUCUUUCUUGAUUUUGGGGAACUUACAGCACCUACUUCAGCCUAGCUCUGCCUGGCGUGAUGACUUAAUUCACGACCCGACCUCCACUGGAAGAAACUUCGUAUGACUUUCAGUUCAGUUCCGCACUAGUAUCCUCUGCGUGGCGACCCUAUUUUCUCGCAGUGCUCCCGAGCACCUUUAACCCAACCGGAUCAGGUGCCUCUGCCGUUGGCUGCGAUGGAGCCGAAGCUGAAGCCGAAGCCGGAGCCGGAGCCAGUCGACCACUUGAGCGUCACCGCAGUGACACACGCAAGUGCUUGGCCUGUCGCUGGAGCGCGAUCAUCCUCCCCGGAGAGGCCUGCGGAACCAAGGAACCCUCGUCAUGAUGCAGCGCUUUUCGGGAAUGAAGUUGCCAGCAGUCGGUGAAGUUGUGCCUGGUUAGGCGCUGCCGUUGACUACGAGUAUUUGCUCAUUUCAAACACUCCGAUGCGUUGAACGUGUUGCGCUGCCCUGAGUGAGUUGUUUUGGCCAGCCUAAUCCCAAUUAAAACCACAUUUUUCAUCGAUCCGAUGGGGAUUCAAGUGAAA